This 507-nucleotide ribosomal RNA is filed under the name uncultured bacterium. Its description in RNAcentral is "bacterial SSU rRNA". It matches the Rfam family "Bacterial small subunit ribosomal RNA", at positions 21 to 518 of the family's 1533-position model. The record is from RNAcentral.
GGCUCAGAACGAACGCUGGCGGCGCGUUUAAGCAUGCAAGUCGAGCGGCAAGGGCCUUCGGGCCCCUAGAGCGGCGGACGGGUGAGUAACACGUGGACAAUCUGCCCCCCGGCCCGGGAUAGCCCAGGGAAACCUGGAUUAAUACCGGAUGAGACGGGACCCGCGAUGGCGGGAUCCGGGAAAGGCGCUGCGGCGCCGCCGGGGGAUGAGUCUGCGUCCCAUUAGCUAGACGGCGGGGUAACGGCCCACCGUGGCGACGAUGGGUAGCCGGCCUGAGAGGGUGGACGGCCACAUUGGAACUGAGACACGGUCCAGACUCCUACGGGAGGCAGCAGCUAAGAAUCUUCCGCAAUGGGCGAAAGCCUGACGGAGCCGACGCCGCGUGAACGAAGAAGGCCGUGAGGUUGUAAAGUUCUUUUCGGGAGGGGGAACAACCGUGGCAGGGAAUGGCCGCGGGAUGACGUGAAUCCCGGAAUAAGCCCCGGCUAACUACGUGCCAGCAGCCGC